This 619-nucleotide ribosomal RNA is filed under the name uncultured marine eukaryote. RNAcentral describes it as "SSU rRNA". It matches the Rfam family "Eukaryotic small subunit ribosomal RNA", at positions 614 to 1240 of the family's 1831-position model. The record is from RNAcentral.
UGCAGUUAAAAAGCUCGUAGUUGGAUUUCGGAGUGGGCCAGUCGGUCCGCCGCAAGGUGUGUUACUGACUGGUUUGCUCUUCUUCGCAAAGACUGCGUGUGCUCUUGAGUGAGUGUGCGUAGGAUUUACGACGUUUACUUUGAAAAAAUUAGAGUGUUCAAAGCAGGCUAUUGCUUGAAUACAUGAGCAUGGAAUAAUGGAAUAGGACUUUGGUCCCAUUUUGUUGGUUUCUAGGGCCGAAGUAAUGAUUAAGAGGGACAAUUGGGGGCAUCCGUAUUUCGUUGUCAGAGGUGAAAUUCUUGGAUUUACGAAAGACGAACAACUGCGAAAGCACUUGCCAAGAGUGUUUUCAUUAAUCAAGAACGAAAGUUAGAGGAUCGAAGACGAUCAGAUACCGUCCUAGUUCUAACCAUAAACGAUGUCGACUAGGGAUCAGCGGGCGUUAUCGUACGACCCCGUUGGCACCUUACGGGAAACCAAAGUUUUUGGAUUCCGGGGGAAGUAUGGUUGCAAAGCUGAAACUUAAAGGAAUUGACGGAAGGGCACCACCAGGAGUGGAGCCUGUGGCUCAAUUUGACUCAACACGGGAAAACUUACCAGGUCCAGACAUAUUAAGGAU